Molecule: ribosomal RNA, 624 nt
Filed under: Acidovorax sp. Se1Ps_2064
Lineage: Bacteria; Pseudomonadati; Pseudomonadota; Betaproteobacteria; Burkholderiales; Comamonadaceae
Description: bacterial SSU rRNA
Rfam family: Bacterial small subunit ribosomal RNA
Source: RNAcentral
UGCCGCGUGCAGGAUGAAGGCCUUCGGGUUGUAAACUGCUUUUGUACGGAACGAAAAGACUCUGGUUAAUACCUGGGGUCCAUGACGGUACCGUAAGAAUAAGCACCGGCUAACUACGUGCCAGCAGCCGCGGUAAUACGUAGGGUGCAAGCGUUAAUCGGAAUUACUGGGCGUAAAGCGUGCGCAGGCGGUUAUAUAAGACAGAUGUGAAAUCCCCGGGCUCAACCUGGGAACUGCAUUUGUGACUGUAUAGCUGGAGUACGGUAGAGGGGGAUGGAAUUCCGCGUGUAGCAGUGAAAUGCGUAGAUAUGCGGAGGAACACCGAUGGCGAAGGCAAUCCCCUGGACCUGUACUGACGCUCAUGCACGAAAGCGUGGGGAGCAAACAGGAUUAGAUACCCUGGUAGUCCACGCCCUAAACGAUGUCAACUGGUUGUUGGGUCUUCACUGACUCAGUAACGAAGCUAACGCGUGAAGUUGACCGCCUGGGGAGUACGGCCGCAAGGUUGAAACUCACAGGAAUUGACGGGGACCCGCACAAGCGGUGGAUGAUGUGGUUUAAUUCGAUGCAACGCGAAAAACCUUACCCACCUUUGACAUGUAUGGAAUCCUUUAGAGAUAGAGG